AAACUUCUAACCUUGCAGAGCACCUUCACACAGCAACCAUCACAUGCUACCGCCAGCAAAGAUUUUUCUUUUGCCCCUCAUUAUCUUCCUUUUUUAAAAAAAAGAAAGGGCGCACUCCUCAAAUAAUCCGGGUCAUCUAAAUCUUAAAAGGAUUAAAAAUGUAAUUUUUCUGCCGCACAGUGGAACCGUAAAUCUUCAAAAAACAAAAAAGAACAUAAGAGAGAAUUUUUUUUACCAUAAAGUGGAACCACACCGUGCCAUGAUUCAUUGAUUCAGUUCAGGACCUUUCAGUUCAAUGGCAUGAAAACAUUGUGAUCAAAACCAAAAACUAACCUUAUAUUGGUCCCGGCGGCCGGACGGCGAAAAUUCAGGCCAAAGCUCAGCGCCGCGUUCCUGGAACCCAGCCCUUGGUUUAUCAACAGCGACGACGCCAUCCCCUCCCUCUCUCUUUCCCUUCUCGUCAAGUCGAAGACCGGAGCAAAAACCAAAAAAAAAAAAAAA
RNAcentral lists this long non-coding RNA (501 nucleotides) under Phoenix dactylifera (date palm). Its description in RNAcentral is "long non-coding RNA (PDAC_LNC021581)". Lineage: Eukaryota; Viridiplantae; Streptophyta; Magnoliopsida; Arecales; Arecaceae. The record is from RNAcentral.